This 312-nucleotide long non-coding RNA is filed under the name Paramuricea clavata. The record is from RNAcentral. Lineage: Eukaryota; Metazoa; Cnidaria; Anthozoa; Malacalcyonacea; Plexauridae.
CUCAGGUUAUGGCAAUAUUCGACAUUAAAUCAGUCGCUCUUAAGUGGUAUUUCUUCACGGCGUCUAGUGCCUCGGUUUAUGAAGAAUUUUCUCAUGUAUUCAUGAAACAGUUUGGAUUAAAUUCACAGCAAAUUGGGAUUACAAAUCUUUGUGGCGUUCAGCAUAUAUUUAUACCGCUAUCAAUAUGUGGGCGACAGAUAUCGUUUGAGGAAUCUAGUUAUUUGGAUCGUGUCGCUACUUUUGGCUAUAAGUUCUAUACUUCUACUUCUGCCUAUUGUUGUUUCGCUACCUACGUGCUUUGGGACGAAGUCU